GACGAAGGAUGCAAGCGUUAUCCGGAUUCACUGGGUUUAAAGGGUGCGUAGGCGGGCAGGUAAGUCCGUGGUGAAAUCUCUGAGCUUAACUCAGAAACUGCCAUGGAUACUAUUUGUCUUGAAUAUUGUGGAGGCAAGCGGAAUAUGUCAUGUAGCGGUGAAAUGCUUAGAUAUGACAUAGAACACCCAUUGCGAAGGCAGCUUGCUACACAAUGAUUGACGCUGAGGCACGAAAGCGUGGGGAUCAAACAGG
Molecule: ribosomal RNA, 253 nt
Filed under: uncultured bacterium
Lineage: Bacteria
Description: partial 16S ribosomal RNA
Rfam family: Bacterial small subunit ribosomal RNA
Source: RNAcentral